AACUGGCCACAGCCAAGAGUUUGCAUCCCCUGCCGAACGACUGGUAACUAAAGGGACAUAUCUCACUUGACAAAUAUUAUUUAAACCAGCAAGCAAGCACUCUAAAAUAUACAAACCAAAAUAAAGCAAUAAAAUCUUUGAUAAGUAAUAAACAUUUAUAAACUUGAUUGCAUUGUUGGGCACACCUGUCAGCUAGGGUAAUUAAUAUAUUCUAAUAUAUUCUGCAGCUCAAAUGAACUUACAAUCUAUGGUAGGUGGGCAUAUAUUGUUACAUGUCUUUCCUAAAGACACUUAUUGGUACGUUAGUGUGCUCAUGCAUGUCUAUCUAAAUAACCUUUUUGCAUUAUCAUGGUCAGACCAUUUUGUCACUAAUUACAGGUUCGGGUGUUUCAGCCUCACCGGUUAUCCAUCAUUUAGCCAUGAAAUCUCAAUAGAAAGACACUAGCAUUACCAUGGCUACUGCAGAGCGUAGUGACUUUAAACUUGGCCCAGUCAUUGGAUUCGAAGUUAGUUUGUGAAAUUUCUGCCCUCAUAGAUCUGUCCCAGUAAAGAGUAAGUGCUAAUUUUGUGAAAUGAUAGCAUGUAGGAGCAACAACAGCCCAGCCACAUAGUCGUAGACCACUACAGAGUCCCAACUGCCUCUGGAAACAACAUCAGUACAAGGACUGUGUGUCAGGCACUUAAUGAAAUAUGUUUCCAAACAAGCCUAACAUCAACAUGAUUUGGAGUAAAGUGUAAGUUGCUCACCUCUACAAUAAAAGAAAAGCCCUGAACCACCACGACCACUGGAAAGAUCUUCACGUAAUAAAAAGACCAGUUUCAUACAACUUCAUGGAAACAGCGCUAUAAAUAUCAAUGUUCUCUACUAAAGUCAGAGAGUUAGCUCUGACCCCUUCUAACAAAUGAGACAUCAAGGGAGACCUCCUUGUAAUGUCUGCUUGUACUGGGCAACGUCAGACCUGUGGGGAGUGGGAGCAUGGACAGACCACCGGUGACGGGGGGGCGGGGAAGAUAGAGAAUUGUAAAUGAGAGGAUCCAGUAGUACAGACUGUCUGAAAGAGGGUGGGCUCUUGUAUUUACAUGUAUUUUGAAUUUGUCCAAUAGCUAGAAGCAGGAGUACUUAUUAUUAACGCUGCCAUAGUUUGAUCAGGAAAGUCAGAUCCAAUCUGACGACAUGUCUCCACUUUGCCAAUUAAAG
Molecule: non-coding RNA, 1198 nt
Organism: Pelobates cultripes (western spadefoot toad)
Lineage: Eukaryota; Metazoa; Chordata; Amphibia; Anura; Pelobatidae
Source: the annotation of a GenBank genome assembly